Molecule: ribosomal RNA, 440 nt
Filed under: uncultured bacterium
Lineage: Bacteria
Description: partial 16S ribosomal RNA
Rfam family: Bacterial small subunit ribosomal RNA
Source: RNAcentral
CCUACGGGAGGCAGCAGUGGGGAAUAUUGCACAAUGGGGGAAACCCUGAUGCAGCGACGCCGCGUGAGUGAAGAAGUAUUUCGGUAUGUAAAGCUCUAUCAGCAGGGAAGAAAAUGACGGUACCUGAUUAAGAAGCGACGGCUAAAUACGAGCCAGCAGCCGCGGUAAUAAGUAGGGGGCAAGCGUUAACAGGAUUUACUGGGUGUAAAGGGAGCGUAGACGGCAGCAUAAGUCUGGAGUGAAAUGACCGGGCUUAACCCCGGACCUGCUGUGGAAACUGUGCAGCUAGAGUGCAGGAGAGGUAAUUGGAAUUCCUAGUGUAGCGGUGAAAUGCGUAGAUAUUAGGAGGAACACCAGUGGCGAAGGCGGCUUACUGGACUGUAACUGACGUUGAGGCUCGAAAGCGUGGGGAGCAAACAGGAUUAGAUACCCGUGUAGUC